Molecule: ribosomal RNA, 465 nt
Filed under: Vreelandella stevensii
Lineage: Bacteria; Pseudomonadati; Pseudomonadota; Gammaproteobacteria; Oceanospirillales; Halomonadaceae
Description: partial 16S ribosomal RNA
Rfam family: Bacterial small subunit ribosomal RNA
Source: RNAcentral
CCUACGGGCGGCAGCAGUGGGGAAUAUUGGACAAUGGGGGGAACCCUGAUCCAGCCAUGCCGCGUGUGUGAAGAAGGCCCUCGGGUUGUAAAGCACUUUCAGUGAGGAAGAACGCCUGGUGGUUAAUACCCAUCAGGAAAGACAUCACUCACAGAAGAAGCACCGGCUAACUCCGUGCCAGCAGCCGCGGUAAUACGGAGGGUGCGAGCGUUAAUCGGAAUUACUGGGCGUAAAGCGCGCGUAGGUGGCUUGAUAAGCCGGUUGUGAAAGCCCCGGGCUCAACCUGGGAACGGCAUCCGGAACUGUCAAGCUAGAGUGCAGGAGAGGAAGGUAGAAUUCCCGGUGUAGCGGUGAAAUGCGUAGAGAUCGGGAGGAAUACCAGUGGCGAAGGCGGCUUUCUGGACUGACACUGACACUGAGGUGCGAAAGCGUGGGUAGCAAACAGGAUUAGAUACCCGAGUAGUC